UGGUCAGAGAGUUAUUGGGCUUAAGCAUCCGUAGCCGGCUUGUCAGUCUUCUGUUAAUCCAGCUGCUUAACCGAUGGGCUGCCGGGGAUACUGCUAGCUAGGGAGCGGGAGAGGUAGACGGUACUCCCGGGGUAGGGGUGAAAUCCUUUGAUCUCUUGAUGACCACCAGUGGCGAAGGCUGUCUACCAGAACACGUUCGACGGUGAGGGAUGAAAGCUGGGGGAGCAAACCGGAUUAGAUACCCGGGUAGUCCCAGCUGUAAACGAUGCAAACUCGGUGAUGGUUGGCUUCUUGCCAUGCAGUGCCGCAGGGAAGCUGUUAAGUUUGCCGCCUGGGAAGUACGGUCGCAAGUCUGAAACUUAAAGGAAUUGGCGGGGGGAGCACAG
This 386-nucleotide ribosomal RNA is filed under the name uncultured archaeon. RNAcentral's name for it is "bacterial SSU rRNA". It matches the Rfam family "Archaeal small subunit ribosomal RNA", at positions 489 to 881 of the family's 1478-position model. The record is from RNAcentral.